RNAcentral lists this transfer RNA (76 nucleotides) under Clostridioides difficile. Its description in RNAcentral is "tRNA-Phe". It matches the Rfam family "tRNA". Rfam says of the family: Transfer RNA (tRNA) molecules are approximately 80 nucleotides in length. Their secondary structure includes four short double-helical elements and three loops (D, anti-codon, and T loops). The record is from RNAcentral. Lineage: Bacteria; Bacillati; Bacillota; Clostridia; Peptostreptococcales; Peptostreptococcaceae.
GCCCAGAUAGCUCAGUCGGGAGAGCAGGGGACUGAAAAUCCCCGUGUCGGUGGUUCGAUUCCGCCUCUGGGCACCA